GACGAACGCUGGCGGCGUGCUUAACACAUGCAAGUCGAACGGAAAGGCCCCUUUUGGGGUCCUCGAGGGGCGUACGGGGGGGUAACACGUGCGUAACCUCCCCUUAACUUCGGGAUAACUUCAGGAAACUGGGGCAAAUACCGGGUAGGAAUCCUUUCUCCAUGUUGGGUGGGGGAAAGUUUGGGCGGUUUUGUAGGGACUCGCGGCUCAACCGCUUGUUGGUGGGGUAGCGGGUUACCAAGGCUGUGCCGGGGAGCCGGCCUGGGAGGGCGACCGGCAACAUUGGGACUGGGAUACGGCCCAGACCCCGACGGGAGGGAGAAGUGGGGAAUAUUGCACAAGGGGCGGAGGCCUGAUGCAGAAACGCCGCGGGCGGGAUGACGGCCUUCGGGUUGUAAUCCGCAUUCAGCAGGGGCGGAGCUGGUGGUGACGGUACCUGGAGAAGAAGCACCGGCUAACUCCGUG
RNAcentral lists this ribosomal RNA (465 nucleotides) under uncultured bacterium. RNAcentral describes it as "partial 16S ribosomal RNA". It matches the Rfam family "Bacterial small subunit ribosomal RNA", at positions 28 to 507 of the family's 1533-position model. The record is from RNAcentral.